AACGAACGCUGGCGGCGUGCUUAACACAUGCAAGUCGAACGCGAAAGGGGCUUCGGUCCUGAGUAGAGUGGCGCACGGGUGAGUAACGCGUAGAUAACCUGUCCUGGUGUCUGGACUAAUAUCUCGAAAGGGGUGCUAAUACCGGAUAUUCUUGCUUUCUAUAAGGUAUGCAAGGAAAGGUGGCCUCUGGAACAAGCUACUGCACGAGGAGGGGUCUGCGUACCAUUAGCUAGUAGGUGGGGUAAUGGCCUACCUAGGCGACGAUGGUUAGCGGGUCUGAGAGGAUGAUCCGCCACACUGGUACUGAAACACGGACCAGACUCCUACGGGAGGCAGCAGUGAGGAAUAUUGCGCAAUGGGGGCAACCCUGACGCAGCGACGCCGCGUGAGUGAGGAAGGCCUUCGGGUCGUAAAGCUCUGUCAAAGGGGAAGAAGUGCAUGGUGGUUAAUAUCUGUCAUGUUUGACGGUACCCUUAAAGGAAGCACCGGCUAACUCCGUGCCAGCAGCCGCCGUAA
Molecule: ribosomal RNA, 516 nt
Filed under: uncultured bacterium
Lineage: Bacteria
Description: partial 16S ribosomal RNA
Rfam family: Bacterial small subunit ribosomal RNA
Source: RNAcentral